This 449-nucleotide ribosomal RNA is filed under the name uncultured bacterium. Its description in RNAcentral is "partial 16S ribosomal RNA". It matches the Rfam family "Bacterial small subunit ribosomal RNA", at positions 29 to 523 of the family's 1533-position model. The record is from RNAcentral.
AACGAACGCUGGCGGCAUGCCUAACACAUGCAAGUCGAACGAGAUCUUCGGGUCUAGUGGCGCACGGGUGCGUAACGCGUGGGAAUCUGCCCUUUGGUUCGGAAUAACAGUUGGAAACGACUGCUAAUACCGGAUGAUGACGAAAGUCCAAAGAUUUAUCGCCAGAGGAUGAGCCCGCGUGGGAUUAGCUAGUUGGUGUGGUAAAGGCGCACCAAGGCGACGAUCCUUAGCUGGACUGAGAGGAGGCUCAGCAACACUGGGACUGAGACACGGCCCAGACUCCUACGGGAGGCAGCAGUGGGGAAUAUUGGACAAUGGGCGAAAGCCUGAUCCAGCAAUGUCGCGUGAGUGAUGAAGGCCUUAGGGUUGUAAAGCUCUUUUACCCGGGAUGAUAAUGACAGUACCGGGAGAAUAAGCUCCGGCUAACUCCGUGCCAGCCGCCGCCGUAA